RNAcentral lists this ribosomal RNA (507 nucleotides) under uncultured Glomus. Its description in RNAcentral is "SSU rRNA". It matches the Rfam family "Eukaryotic small subunit ribosomal RNA", at positions 569 to 1081 of the family's 1831-position model. The record is from RNAcentral. Lineage: Eukaryota; Fungi; Glomeromycota; Glomeromycetes; Glomerales; Glomeraceae.
AGCAGCCGCGGUAAUUCCAGCUCCAAUAGCGUAUAUUAAAGUUGUUGCAGUUAAAGAGCUCGUAGUUGAAUUUCGGGAUCAAUAUGUCGGUCGUGCUUCGGUACGUACUGGCAUCAUUGGUUUCUCCUUUCUGAUGAACCAUGAUGCCAUUAAUUUGGUGUUAUGGGGAAUCAGGACUGUUACUUUGAAAAAAUUAGAGUGUUUAAAGCAGGCUCACGCUUGAAUACAUUAGCAUGGAAUAAUGAAAUAGGACGUUUGAUUCUAUUUUGUUGGUUUCUAGGAUCGACGUAAUGAUUAAUAGGGAUAGUUGGGGGCAUUAGUAUUCAAUUGUCAGAGGUGAAAUUCUUGGAUUUAUUGAAGACUAACUACUGCGAAAGCAUUUGCCAAGGAUGUUUUCAUUAAUCAAGAACGAAAGUUAGGGGAUCGAAGACGAUCAGAUACCGUCGUAGUCUUAACCAUAAACUAUGCCGACUAGGGAUCGGAUGAUGUUAAUUUUUUAAUGUACUU